RNAcentral lists this transfer RNA (74 nucleotides) under Chloroflexus aurantiacus. RNAcentral describes it as "tRNA-Lys". It matches the Rfam family "tRNA". Rfam says of the family: Transfer RNA (tRNA) molecules are approximately 80 nucleotides in length. Their secondary structure includes four short double-helical elements and three loops (D, anti-codon, and T loops). RNAcentral also lists the same sequence under 2 other names. The record is from RNAcentral. Lineage: Bacteria; Bacillati; Chloroflexota; Chloroflexia; Chloroflexales; Chloroflexaceae.
GGGCCAUUAGCUCAGUUCGGUAGAGCAGCUGACUCUUAAUCAGUUGGUCCAAGGUUCGAAUCCUUGAUGGCCCA